RNAcentral lists this ribosomal RNA (376 nucleotides) under uncultured bacterium. RNAcentral's name for it is "bacterial SSU rRNA". It matches the Rfam family "Bacterial small subunit ribosomal RNA", at positions 917 to 1291 of the family's 1533-position model. The record is from RNAcentral.
GGGCCCGCACAAGCGGUGGAGUAUGUGGUUUAAUUCGAUGCAACGCGAAGAACCUUACCAGGGUUUGACAUCCUGCGAAUCUCUUGGAAACGAGAGAGUGCCUUCGGGAACGCAGUGACAGGUGCUGCAUGGCCGUCGUCAGCUCGUGUCGUGAGAUGUUGGGUUAAGUCCCGUAACGAGCGCAACCCUUGUCCUUAGUUGCCAGCACGUCAUGGUGGGAACUCUAGGGAGACUGCCGGUGACAAACCGGAGGAAGGUGGGGACGACGUCAGGUCAUCAUGGCCCUUACGACCUGGGCUACACACGUGCUACAAUGGCUGGUACAGAGGGUUGCGAAGUCGCGAGGCGAAGCUAAUCCCCAUAAACCGUGGCUCAG